This 253-nucleotide ribosomal RNA is filed under the name uncultured bacterium. RNAcentral describes it as "partial 16S ribosomal RNA". It matches the Rfam family "Bacterial small subunit ribosomal RNA", at positions 524 to 776 of the family's 1533-position model. The record is from RNAcentral.
UACGGAGGAUCCAAGCGUUAUCCGGAAUCAUUGGGUUUAAAGGGUCCGUAGGCGGUUUAAUAAGUCAGUGGUGAAAGCCCAUCGCUCAACGGUGAAACGGCCAUUGAUACUGUUAAACUUGAAUUAUUAGGAAGUAACUAGAAUAUGUAGUGUAGCGGUGAAAUGCUUAGAGAUUACAUGGAAUACCAAUUGCGAAGGCAGGUUACUACUAAUGGAUUGACGCUGAUGGACGAAAGCGUGGGUAGCGAACAGG